UGGCUCAGACAGUAAAGCGUCUGCCUACAAUGCAGGAGAUCCGGGUUCAAACCCUGG
RNAcentral lists this transfer RNA (57 nucleotides) under Bos taurus (domestic cattle). It matches the Rfam family "tRNA", at positions 8 to 63 of the family's 71-position model. Rfam says of the family: Transfer RNA (tRNA) molecules are approximately 80 nucleotides in length. Their secondary structure includes four short double-helical elements and three loops (D, anti-codon, and T loops). The record is from Rfam by way of RNAcentral. RNAcentral also lists the same sequence under 3 other names. Lineage: Eukaryota; Metazoa; Chordata; Mammalia; Artiodactyla; Bovidae.